RNAcentral lists this ribosomal RNA (398 nucleotides) under uncultured bacterium. Its description in RNAcentral is "partial 16S ribosomal RNA". It matches the Rfam family "Bacterial small subunit ribosomal RNA", at positions 523 to 918 of the family's 1533-position model. The record is from RNAcentral.
AUACGUAGGGUGCGAGCGUUGUCCGGAAUUACUGGGCGUAAAGAGCUCGUAGGUGGUUUGUCGCGUCGUCUGUGAAAUUCCGGGGCUUAACUCCGGGCGUGCAGGCGAUACGGGCAUAACUUGAGUACUGUAGGGGAGACUGGAAUUCCUGGUGUAGCGGUGAAAUGCGCAGAUAUCAGGAGGAACACCGGUGGCGAAGGCGGGUCUCUGGGCAGUAACUGACGCUGAGGAGCGAAAGCAUGGGUAGCGAACAGGAUUAGAUACCCUGGUAGUCCAUGCCGUAAACGGAGGGCGCUAGGUGUAGGGGUCUUCCACGACUUCUGUGCCGUAGCUAACGCAUUAAGCGCCCCGCCUGGGGAGUACGGCCGCAAGGCUAAAACUCAAAUGAAUUGGCGGGG